Molecule: ribosomal RNA, 756 nt
Filed under: uncultured bacterium
Lineage: Bacteria
Description: bacterial SSU rRNA
Rfam family: Bacterial small subunit ribosomal RNA
Source: RNAcentral
AGAGUUUGAUCCUGGCUCAGAAUCAACGCUGGCGGCGCGCUUAACACAUGCAAGUCGAGCGAGAAAGGGGAGCAAUCCCUGAGUACAGCGGCGUACGGGUGAGUAACACGUGGGUAAUCUACCUCUUUGUGGGGAAUAACCCUGGGAAACCGGGGCUAAUACCGCAUAAGCCUGAGAAGGGAAAGCAGCAAUGCGCAGAGAGAGGAGCCCGCGGCCGAUUAGCUAGUUGGUGAGGUAAUGGCUCACCAAGGCGACGAUCGGUAGCCGGCCUGAGAGGGCACACGGCCACACUGGCACUGAAACACGGGCCAGACUCCUACGGGAGGCAGCAGUGGGGAAUCUUGCACAAUGGAGGCAACUCUGAUGCAGCGACGCCGCGUGAGCGAUGAAGCCCUUCGGGGUGUAAAGCUCUUUCGGCAGGAACGAUAAUGACGGUACCUGAAGAAGAAGCUGCGGCUAACUACGUGCCAGCAGCCGCGGUAAUACGUAGGCAGCGAGCGUUGUUCGGAAUUACUGGGCGUAAAGAGUGUGUAGGCGGUGCUCUAAGUUCGGUGUGAAAUCUCCUGGCUUAACUGGGAGGGUGCGCCGGAAACUGGAGUGCUCGAGCGUGGGAGAGGAAAGCGGAAUUCCUGGUGUAGCGGUGAAAUGCGUAGAUAUCAGGAGGAANNCCUGCGGUGUAGACGGCUUUCUGGACCAUAGCUGACGCUGAGACACGAAAGCGUGGGUAGCAAACAGAAUUAGAUACCCCCGUAGUCC